This 253-nucleotide ribosomal RNA is filed under the name uncultured bacterium. RNAcentral's name for it is "partial 16S ribosomal RNA". It matches the Rfam family "Bacterial small subunit ribosomal RNA", at positions 524 to 776 of the family's 1533-position model. The record is from RNAcentral.
CACGUAGGGUGCGAGCGUUGUCCGGAAUUAUUGGGCGUAAAGAGCUCGUAGGCGGUUUGUCGCGUCUGCUGUGAAAACUCGGGGCUCAACCCCGAGCUUGCAGUGGGUACGGGCAGACUAGAGUGCGGUAGGGGAGACUGGAAUUCCUGGUGUAGCGGUGGAAUGCGCAGAUAUCAGGAGGAACACCGGUGGCGAAGGCGGGUCUCUGGGCCGUAACUGACGCUGAGGAGCGAAAGCAUGGGGAGCGAACAGG